AGCGGGUCAAUGCCAUUGCUUCAAGGAAGGGUUGUACUCCAUCACAGCUAGCAUUGGCCUGGGUCCAUCACCAAGGCAAUGAUGUUUGCCCCAUACCUGGCACUACCAAGAUUGAGAACCUCAAUCAGAAUAUAGGAGCUUUGUCUGUAAAACUGUCAGCCGAGGAAAUGGCGGAACUUGAAUCUAUUGCUUCUGCGGGAGUCAAGGGUGAUAGGUAUGGGCCUGGCCUUGGUACUUGGCAAACUUCUGAAACUCCACCUUUGUCAACCUGGAAGAGAACAUGAAGACAUACUUUGUUAUGGCAAUAAUUCCUUCUAGCUAUGUGCCUGAUGGUGGAUUCCACUAUAUUAAGAGUUGAGUGAUAUGUAUUUGUUCCAAUAAAUUUUGACAUACUAUUGUCUCUAGGGUUAAGGCAAGUAAAGUUAUAAGAAGAAUGGAGUUUCUUCAGAGAGGUUGUAAUGAAUAAUAUCUGGUCAUGUAAAAGCAGAAUAUAAUUUUCCUUGCAGUUGAAUGCAUUAAAGGUUAUAUAUUGUACUUUUGAAUGCUAUAGUGGUCCAUUUUUGAUGUGCUACUGCUACGAGAGUUAUAGAUUGUCGAACAGCAUUCAAUUCAGGACUUAUUAAACAUAAGCAUAUAAACAUUUUAUGCUCGGAAUAUUUACAUCAAAAGAAACUCCAAGGUCACAUCAUUGUAAAGUGUAAACUACAUCAUAUUAACAAAAAGCAAAAAAAAAGGUCUAAAUGAGGAAAAAAAUGUACUAUAGAAGAAGUCAACAAUGUCAUGUAAUCAUUUUAUCCUAAAACUGAGAUUAAAAUUUAGUUGAUUUGUAUUUUGAGUUUCAUCUUUGAUGGGAAAUGUAUCUCAGAACUUAACUCCAACAUUUGAUGUUUCCUACUUGGAGUAUUCAGUCCACCUUGAUGCAUUGAUCUUUCCCCUGAACUUGUGCCCGUCAAACAAUAUUUCUGAUCAUCUUGAAGUAAUUAGUACCAUCUGUUCAUUACUCCCUUCUGAUUUCUUGCAUUAUAGUUUCCUCUUUAAUGGGAAAUGUAUAUCAAGAUCUACCUUCUACAAUUGAGAUUUCUUAGAGUACUCAGUCCACCUUACUAGACUGUUCUUUUCCCUGAACUUUGUUCACUUCAAACAAUACUAUGAUCAUCUUGAAGUUAUUCGUAUUGUUGUCUUUUGUAGACGACACAUGCUUUACUGCCUUUUGAAUUUCUGCAUUGCAGUUGCUUAAAUUUUGAAAUUCAUACAAUUUAGAAUAUGCCAAGGUUUCAAGCAGAGAAUUUGGAGCACAACAAGAAGUUGUAUGAGCGGGCCACUGCCAUUGCUUCAAGGAAGGGUUGUACUCCAUCACAGCUAGCAUUGGCCUGGGUCCAUCACCAAGGCAAUGAUGUUUGCCCCAUACCUGGCACUACCAAGAUUGAGAACCUCAAUCAGAAUAUAGGAGCUUUGUCUGUAAAACUGUCAGCAGAAGAUAUGGAUGAACUUGAAUCUAUUGCAUCAGCUGGAGUCAAGGGUGAUAGAUAUGAUCCUGGCCGUGGUACUUUGGCGAAC
RNAcentral lists this long non-coding RNA (1557 nucleotides) under Coffea arabica (coffee). Its description in RNAcentral is "long non-coding RNA (CARA_LNC002188)". The record is from RNAcentral. Lineage: Eukaryota; Viridiplantae; Streptophyta; Magnoliopsida; Gentianales; Rubiaceae.